Non-coding RNA from Macaca mulatta (Rhesus monkey), 13111 nucleotides. The record is from RefSeq and is a predicted model, not a curated record. Lineage: Eukaryota; Metazoa; Chordata; Mammalia; Primates; Cercopithecidae.
AUGGACAGAGGAAAGCCACAGUGGGGUCUUCUGACACAGGGCACAGGGCAGUGGCUUGGACUGCUCAGGUUUCAGAGAGAACUGGAUGCAGGAUGCCAACGCGAUGGACCAGAUUCUUUGACUCAGAGUCACAUACAGUAAAGGAUCCCUUUGUCGUGUAUUAACAGGUCAUGGGCAACACUUUGAUCCUUCCUUGGUACAAGAUAGUACAAGAUAUUACCUUAGGAUAUUGAUUCUCAAAAAUAUCUGGGAACUUUUGUUUGAGAUUAAAAAACAUACAGGAUGCACAAUCAGGCAGUUACAUCUUAGUGGUGAGAAUUUUUGUUUGCUACCACUUAUAAUAUCUGCAGUCCUUCUUUUUUGGAUUCAUUUGCUGAAAUAAAUUCCCUAGUUAUUCUUUCAGAAAGGACGUCAUCGGGUAAACUUUGCCCAAUCACUCAUCGUUUUUUCACAUUAAAUUUGAGUUUGAACUGGUACUGGUAACAAACUAGUAUUCAUUUUCCCUGAGCACUUGGGAGAAUUGAUCCAAUGACUGGUGGCGUGUAGAAUGAAUCGCGAUGAAACGUCUCGUCCUACCUGCUCCUCAUUCCCUUUUCUGCCAACGAUUCAUCUUCAGAAGACAAGCAGAUGAGGAGACAAAACCUACUGAUGUGGGUACCCAAGCAGGAACCCCCCUCUUGCACCGGCGACUCAAGUGGGAAGAAGAAUUCACUGAGUUGAAAUGGAGUGAGAGCUACGAUGCUCUCAGAAUGUCCUUAAAAUGUGCUGCAAAGAAGCCUGGGUGAGUAGAAGAAAAUAAAAGGAAUGGUGGAUACAAGGAAAGGUUAAAAUGAGGUAGGAACUAAAUAUUAUACUGGCACUUGGGGUUACUAUUUAUGAAUUGUUACUUUCUGGCAAUGCUCUACUCUUUUGUAUCUUCUUUGGGACAGAAAAUUCCAUAAGAAAGACCUUUCCAGGAAGAGCUUGUCCCUAAGCUUAUGGACUCAGGGUUUGAACAAAGCGUCUCUUCCAAGACCUUGUGAAUAAUAUGCAUAUGGUCCAUAUAACUUCACAAAGUAAAGUUAAAUGAACGCAUUCUUUUCUUGCUAUUAGACCCCGUUUAUCGCACUAGCUGCUGGUGAUUUGAGCGCUCCUUUCCAAGCCUCUUGAGAGUUCUGCUCUAACAACACUGCCCCCUAGUGUUCUCUCGCUUUGGUGCAACUUCAUUGCAGAGUUAACUUAAUUGCAGAGUUCUGAAGCAGUUUAUGAUAUUCCAGGUCCAUCUUGUACACUUCCUUCCAUAGACCUGUAAUCAUCUAUUUCUUCAGGGAGCCUUUGAUUCCUUUUAGUGGAAAAUGGUUUUCUGAUGUGCUAUACACUUGACCUUUGAAGAAUACAGGUUUGAACUGCACGGGUCCAUUUAUAAGUGGAUUUUCUUCUGCCUCUCCCCCGCUGCCCCCACCCCGAGACAGCAAGACCAGACCCAUCUCUUCCUCCUCCUCAGCCUACUCAACGUGAGGAUAUGGAUAAAGACCUUUAUCAUGACCCACUCCACUUCCACUUAAUGAAAUAUGUUUUCUCUUCCUUAUGAUUUUCUUAAUCAUACUUUUUUUCUUCUAGCUAACUUUAUGGUAAGAAUACAAUGUGUGAUACAUACUACAUAUAACAUACAAUAUACGCGUUCAAUGACGAUGUUAUUGGUAAGGUUUCCAGUCAAUAGUAGAUUAUUAGUAGUUAAGUUUCUGGAGAGUCAAAAAUUAAACACGAUGACUGUGACCCUUUGGGGUUGGUUCCCCUAAACUCCACAUUAUUUCGGGGUCAACUAUUAUUUAAUCAGCAUGGUCAUAUUGAUGUCCAUGCAUAUUAAUACUUGAGACCUCAAUAGAGAAUAUGCCCAUAGUUCAGGGAUCUAUUGAUGUCUUUCUACACUGCCAGGUCACUAUCUCUGUCCCCUUCCCAGUCUGUGAAGAGUCUCUGCGUGUCUCUUUGUUGCCACUGUCUUGAGUCUUCUGGAUGCUGAUACAAGGCCAACUGAAUGUGCAUCGUCCAUCUGAAGUGCUCCUGUGUGAUUACUAGGCCACGGAACAGCCACAAACAUCACUCCUUCCUUUUCUCCCCUAACAGGCUUUGAGCCCUGAUUCUUCAUCAGGGUGGUAGAAGAGAAGUCUUAGAGAACCAUGACCCCCAUGGGAACAUAUUAAAAUGAUGGGGGAAUAUACUGGGAGGAAACAAUAGUUUGAUAAAAGCUUCCCAGUUGGUUCUAAUGGAACUCCUCAGGGCUGUAGUUGGAUCCUCUGCUCUGGGUAGAGACGGGCAGGGUGCCAUGGAAUUGGCCCCGGGUCCAGAUCACCUGGGCAUCCUCAGGCACAGGACUGGGAAUUGACUGACUGAGAUUUAAGGGAUAGGAGAAAAGAGAGAAAAGAAGGCAGGAGCCCAGGGAUGUAAUUUCUUUUUGGACCCAUCUUCUUUUUUUUUUUUUUUUUUUGAAAGCUAACAGAUUUAUCUUAAAAGCAUUUAUAGUUAUUCCUGCUUAAUGUGUAGCUAAGAAAUUCUUUCAACUCUAAACAGAAAACAAAGACUUUCAUUUUACAGGUAGAGAUAAAAGGCAUUGAAUGAAAAAGUUUGAAAGAGGUGGCAUUUGGGGUGAAAGUGUCUCCAUCAAAGAAAAACUGAUGACAUCAGAUCUGUGAUUGUUUUAAUAGAGGGAGAGAAUACAGGAAGGCAGAGGGGCUGGGCAGGGGGAUGUAAGAGAUAGGGAGCAGCAACUGGAUGCUGGAAAUGGUCAUAAACUGCUAAUUUCAUAAGUGUGUUUAUCUUCAUUUGUGCACAGAAAAAUAAAGGCACUGUGUGGGUAUAUUAAUGGUCUAUAUGAAUGCCAGGACUGGUACAGCCUCAGGCUCUAAGGAAGGAAGAUGGUCAGGUAUUUGGUAAGAUGAUUUGAAGACAAACAAGUGUCAAAGAACUGAUGGUCUGACUUGAGUCUUGGUGUAUGAUGUAAGAGCUCAGCAGAUUAUAAUAUUCAGGAUAAUUUCGGAGGAAUCCACAGAAGCUACAGUGUCCAGGGCAUAUUAGUAACUGAGGGUCACAUAAUUAAACAAAUAAUUCUUACAGAUGGUUCAUUUGUAAGUUAGUAGGCAUUUCUGCUAUAAGCAAAAAUGUUGUCAUUUUGACUUCAGAGAAAUAGACAACUUUAUAUUUCUGAGGCGCUUAUGUUUUCUCUAUUGUGGAUGAUGUAUCUUCCAUUACUAAUGAAGGAUCAUAGGAAUUGAGGUAAUUGAAACACAGUUCUCCUCUCUAUGGUAUUAAUAUUUUUCCCAAUGAUUGCUUUUCUUUUCCUGUUUCCUGGAUAUGACAGAGCACAUGGUAUAAAUACCGAACCGCUCGGGGAACAGCCACCCCCAAGGCCCUCUGCCUUCCUCCUGCUCUCCCGGGGAGCCCCUUCUUCCCCUUUCUCUUCCGAAUUAACCUGUUCUUCACACCUGGAUGUUAAGAUUAUUCAGCCCCUUUCCCCAGUCAAGGUUACUGUUCUAUUUUUAGCCUUGAGAUACAGAUGAAUUACACUACUAGAAUAUUCACUGAUCAAUAAUGUGAAAAAACAAAAGAGAGAAAUUAUGAGUCAGAAGAGGUAAAAUAGUGAGUCACCAGAGUACGUCUCUAUUCUAUUAAUUUCAACUGCACAGUCUAUAACAACCAGUGUGUGAGAGUUUCAGCCGUCAUCCAAAUAACAUAUGGGAAACCACAAAGGAAUUCAAGCUGCAGACAACAAGGCACAUUUAAGAGGUUACAGUAUUAGUGUUGAGCUUGGGGACAUAGAAUAGAGCAUUGAUUUCUGAUAAAUUAUUGGGCAUUGACAUUUUUGGCAUGGGCAUUUCUUUCUAGAUUAUGGUUCCAUAAAAAGUCAGUUUGGGCCCAUUGAUUGCCUCAGAGGGAAGUGUGUGUGUGUGGUGUGUGUGUGUGUGUGUGUGUGUGUGUGUGUUAGGUGGAAUGUGCUGGAUUUGGGAGGCGUAGUGGGAUGUUGGAAAUUUAGCUGUACAUGCCCAAUAACGUUAGCCUUUUAUAUUUUAAUUUAGGAUAUCUGGGCUCCAUUCUUCCCUGAUGCUUCCCAACCAUGACUUACCUUUCUUAGCGCCGUUGUCAUUCAAUCAGGAAUUCUCUCGAGCAGACCCGCUAGUGGCAUUCAGUGGAUCCCAGAAUAGAUUUAGCCUGUUGGGAGCACAAUGCAUGUUUUAGUCUCCUGGUCACAUACAAAUGAAAUAGGAGGGGGUGACAAAAUAUUGGAAUUUAGGAGGGCCCUAUGACUUGAUUUUCUUUUGCAUAUUAGACAGACUUCUGAGACGUUUGAAUCUUUGAAUUGUUAUGUUUAAUUACUUACACCGAAAAAGUCUAAGACUGAAUUCACUUUUUUUCUCUAAAUAUGUUUCCUUCUGAAUUUCUUUGUUGUGUUUUGGUGAUACUCUAUUCCUCAGCUGCCCAGUUUUCCAAAUUUUUAAAAUAUAGUUACCCAGUUCAAUUAUUUAUUCAACAAGUAUCUAUACUGCUGGCAUGUUGUGUGAGUCACAUACUGGGCACUCUGGGAUGGAGAGAUAGGUCAGUGCCCACCCUUGGGAGUUCACAAUUUAGCGGGUCCCCUUUUGCAUCCUCUCCCUCCUGUCCCUCCCGUCAAGUGCACCUGUGUCUUUAGCGUCUUCCUUCCCAUCCCUAUUGCAGCUGCUCUGAUAGGAGCCUUCUCCAUCACACCCGGCCCACAGCAAUCAAGUGCUCCAUGGUCUCAGGGAGCCUAAAAGCUACAGCUUCAAAAUCCAGUUUCUCACUCUCUAACCUCUUCCAGUAGUUCUCAACCUUGGUUCUACAUCAAAUGCAUUGGUAAUUUUUUUAAUCUGUCUGUUUUUGACACAGAUGCCCAGGAACCCUUUUGUAGAGGGCUUGGUUCAUAUGUAAUCUCUAAAUGGUGCUUUCCUUGGGCUUCCAGAUAAGAGACAAUUACUCAUUCCUCUGUGAGUCUAGUUGUUUGUACUUCACUUUUACUGAUUACAUUGGUAUCCCUGUGCCACUCUGUCCAUUCCACUAGACCAUGACAGCACUGAGGCCAAGAAAUGCUACCCUACUCAGCUUUCUGUAAGUAUUAGUUCCUUUUACCCCAUCUUUAAUGCCUAAUGAUGGACAUAAAUUCUUGCUACAUCUUCAUUUUAUCAAGUAUUCUUCUCUUGUCAUUUUGAUUACAGGGAAAAGAGCAACCAUGGGAGACUAGCAAAGCUCCUGCAUUCUGUUUGUCUUUUAGGGCCAGGGCAGGGCUAAAUUGUGUUUGAAAGAAGAGAAAAUGAGUUGUUCCAGUUUUCUCUUAGAAAAACUCCAAGAAGCACUUGAAAUUCCAGCAUUCUCUUCUCUCCAUGGGAAGCACCAUUUCAUUUCUCAUUUCUUCAUUAAUACUCUCUUUUCCUUGUCCCCAAGAAAACUACCACUCUAUCCUCACCAACCAGUAUAAAGUUACUUGUUUCUUGAUAAGAAUGGAAGUCACUCUAAGAGUGCUACUCCAGCUGUGGAACUUCACCUGGUUGAAUUUUUGCAAUCACAGUUGGAGGAGUGUUAAUCAUAGUUAUCACAAGCAGUCUAACUUAUCAACCCUUUUGAGUUACAUGUCCCUGGAAAAAUUAGUGCCUCUGUUCCCUACCCAACCUCUGGCCUUUUUUUUUUUUUUUUUUUUUGAGACAGGGUCUUGCUCUGUUGCCCAGGCUGGAGUGCAGUGGCACAAUCACAGCUUACUGCAUCCUUGACCCCCAGUGUUCAAGUGAUCGUCCUACCUCACCCUCUCAAAUAGCUGAGACUACAGGGAACUAGCACCAUACCUGGCUAAUUUUUAAAAUUUUUCUGUAGAUACAAGUUCUCACUCUGCUAUCCAGGCUGAUGUUGCACUCCUGGCCUCAAGUUAUCCUCCUACCCCGGCCUACUAAAGUGCUGGGAUUACAGGUGUGAGCCACUGCACCCAGAUACUUCAUGGAAUAAUGCAGUGUUCUAUGAAGUGCAAUGUUUAACUGAAUAAGAAACACAGUAAUUGUAUAGAAAUAGGGCUGUAGCGAGGAGUGAAUGGGAUAACACAGGUUAAAACUAUCAAUGUAGCACCUGGCCCAUGCUAAGCACUCAAUACAAGAAUAACCCUGGUAACACAUAUUAUCUUCAUCAUAGUCAGAUAUUUCGAAAAGACUCCCUGGGAAUAAUCAUGGACUUUGGAGCCUAGGACAGAGGCAGGGCUUCGUGCUCCCGGGGCAGCUCCAGGAGAUGCUGACUGGAAGGGUUGAAAGGUCAAGGACUGAAGAGUGGCUGAAAAUGCAGGUUUCUCAUACUUUAUGGAGAGAUAGAAAGCACCAGAUGACAGCCACCACACAUUUUUGUCCCCAUUGCUAUAAGAUGCUUCUAACCAUCGUAAAAUUAUGAAACACUGAAUUCCUUAAAAGUUGUCCACUUGCGGAUUUAUCUGAUGCACAGAACACUGGGCCCAGACUCUUGCCAGAAGAUGCCUUUGAACUGUUUGCUGCUCACCUUUUAGUGAAAGCUCUUGACACAAAUAUUAAAGAAAAGUGUUUAAAGGACGUGCGGUCAAUGCAUUCCUGACGGUGAGUCUUUCGUGGAUUGAAAGCUCUGAAGUCCCACACUGGAAAAACACUUCGAGAGACCUACACAGAUAAUGGUGUGUACAACUUCAGAGGCCUGCGCUGUCUCUUGAAGUGCAUAUUGAUGCCCUAGACGGUUCUGUCAUGAUAAAAAACAGGCUUUAGUUUUUUCCAUCUCUAAUCAAUUGGUAGUGAAGACCAAGAGCACUGUUUUGAAAUGGAUCUGAGCCCAGUUUGGUCUAAGCAGAAAAGAGUUCUAUGAUGGAUCCACACACCCUAAGUUGAGGUGAGAAAGCUGCUGGGCCAUGGGCUAUGAUUUUGGUAUCCUUACUCUGGAAAUUAAGGUAGACUACUAGCAAGUUGUGUAUGUUGACCACACACUUUCUAAUUUAUCCAGAACAUUGCUUCCAUUGAGUUGGACUUGGUCAUUAUAUCCUCAGUUUGCAUUCAGGGAAAAUUUUAAAAAGUUUCCCAUGACACCUGCCUUCACUUUUUUGUCAGAAUGUCAUCGAAAAACACUGGCCAUGUCAGAUAAAAUAUCCUUGUCAGACCUAAGUGUCAGGAAAAUCUUUGCUUCACUGAAGAAUUUUAUUCUUUCAGGACAAAAUAUGAAUGACAUAAUAUACAGUAUUCCUCUUUGCUUCUGCUUUUAGGAAUAUCAGCUUAAUGUCAAUAAUUGCAUAGCAUACUAUAACAAAAAUCAUACAAUGAUACUAAUUUUUAUUUAUAUCUCUAUCCAUGAAUCUAUCCCACUGUUGAGCUAACAAUUCUUAUAAGCCACUCCAAAUUCUUUGUGGAACAAAUCAAGAUAUAUAAAGGUAAACAAAUAAUAUUGUACAGAUGUUAAUAUUUUAAUUCUCCCAUGAAAAAUAAAAGUUCGCCUUCCUUUGGCUUCAGAAAAUUCAUUAAUUUUCCAGCUUUAAGACUGAAGAGUAAUGAACACAUGCUAUCAGCAGAUUUAAGUAUCUGACUAACGACAGUUCAAGCCUUCCCUUUCAUAUUCCUCUCCAGUAUGACUGAAUAACUUCUUUUCCCUAGAGACAGACAUUUAGCCUUAAAUUUUAUUAGAAGGAGAAAGAACAAAAAAUUUUAAAAUAUCAAAGGAAUAUAAAUCUACAGUGGUAUUCAGAGUUGUUCAUUUUUAAUAGAAAUAAAUUACUAGUUCAAACAACUUCUCCAAAACAAGUUUCCCAGCCCACCAAAGCAGCCGCUGGUGAGCAGCCUCACCUGUUAUCAUUAGUCUUUUCUUGUCACACUUCCCUAUUUAAGUGUGGAAUUGUUCCCAGUUCAAAGAUACAUGGGAGAGAAGUGGCUGGAUGGGUAGGAUGCACAGAAAACCUCGUGUAUAUUCUCUGGGAGAAGCUUCUGUAGAAGAAUCUAAGAGGCCACAGCAGAUGACCUCUGGGGAGGUUUGUGGCUAUCAUCAUGAAGAAAGGCUUAACUGUUACACAAAUCUUUGCAAUACUUUUUUUCUGAAUUUCUUAGGCCCAGAAGGCUCUAUUGCUCAAGUUCAUUUUAAAGCACACUGGUUUCAAAACCUGCAUAAGUGUUCACUGAAUUAAAAAAAUUCUUUCUCAAGCUCUAGGUAUGCUGACAAGUUCGGUAGACCGGAAGUGUGAUACUUCUACCCGAGAGCCUCCCACAGAGUCAGCACCUCAAGGGAGAAGGCAGGGGCCCUGAGCUCCGUCCCGGGUCAGUGCCUUACUUCCUGUGUGAUCUCUGCAAAGUUAUUUAGUCAACCUCUCAGUCUCAGUUUUCUCAUACAUAAAGUAGGGAUAAAAGUCAUAUCCAACUUGCAGAUUGUGCAGAUUCAAUGCAUGUCAUGUAAAGCACAUGGAGUGUACUAAAUGCUCAAUAAAUACCAGUUCCCUCCCUUCACCUUUCAGCCCCUCGUCUCCCCAGCAAUAUUUUCAGAUGAAGAAGAGGUGAGAAUUUUCAGUCUUAUUUACACCAAAGAUCACGUCUCGGUAGUCAAAAUAAAAGUGGCCGUAUAAUCUAAGGACAUAAGUGAGUUAUGUGGUCUGAGAACAGGACGGAAUAAUGAAAAGCAGGCUUGUGCUGAAAAGCUGGAAAUAUGCUGCACAUCAUGUCUGCAUCCUUCCCUCACGCCUCCUUCUCUCUCCCACAGGGUAGCAGAGCAAAGAAAGUAGAACUCAGGGCAGGGCUUGUGUCUGUUUUGUUCACUGGUGUACCCCAAGUGUGGAGAAUCCUAUAGAUUUGAUGCUCAAUAGAUAUUUGAUAAACUGAAUUAAAUACUCAGAAAGAAAGCAGAAAUGUUUUGGGACUUCAUAUCCUGUUUUCCCUGCAGUUCAGCAUAAAUAAAAUAAUUAUUUCUAACAAAAAAGUUAAAGAAAGUCUUUAAUUUUCUACCACAGGAAAAGGUAUUAGAUUUGUAUUCAUUUUCCUCAAGCACAUACCCCAAAAAAAUCCCCCCAAACAAAUAAACAUCAGUAAACGAUUUCUGGAAACCCAAUUUAGCAAUAGGUUACAAAUAAAGCAAAGAGUGCCCCUGCUCAAACUGCUGUUUAUCUUGCAAGGGCCUUCCAGGGUGGAGCUCUCUCACCCUCUCUGGCCCAGCCUUAAACUUCACUCUAAGUAAGCAGAAUACAGCUGAGACAAGAGGAAGUAGUUCAUUUGCAUAAUACAAAGACACCCACGUGAAUGGUUUGCCACUUAUCAAUGUUCGCUUUGCUCAUUAGUGAAACAAUCUACCAGUAAGUCUACCUAAAGUCUAAUAUGCUAUACUUUUUUUCCCCCAGAAAGUUGGUCAAUGGAGAAGGCAUCAGUUGGCAACAUUCGGUUGGACCAGUUAAUGAUGGUUUGCUUUUCAAAAGAUACUAGCAGAGAGCAUUAAUCUUAUCACUCUCUUUAAGUAUAAUCUGGACGCAGAGAAUCACUCACAUGCUUUAAGUUAGGUUGCAAAGUUUUGGGGGAAAAUGUCAGAGAUUUUGUUUUGUUUUUGGAUGUCUGGCAUCGGAUAAGCAAUGGAUAUUUUGGGAGCCCAAAUAUCCAUUGUUUCUCUGGAUACUAAAAAUGAUUAUAUUAAUAGAAAUAGCAGGGACUGUGAAGAUUGGCUGUGACAAGUGAUGCUGUGGUUUACUCUGACUUAGAUUUGCUUCCAUGGAGGUUUGACUGUGAGAUGGAGAUCUGUGGGGAGUUCCACUGGGUCGUGCUCUGGGCAAAACCACUAUGACAGCAGUGAAGGAAGAAGGAUCAGGUGGGAGGGGCAUGUUGGAGUCCUGAGCCGGGAUGCCCUUCAGAACUGGCCCAAACUGAAGCAGUGGGGAUGAGUCUCAGUGGCCAGACAUUGGAUGUGGGCUGCCCAGGGAGGACGCAUGACCUCGUGUGAGGCAGCUCCCUUUGGCCAAAGGCAAUUUUCCAGAAGGGAUGCAGCUGAGGGCUGUCAGCUUCCACCAAUUCCAGCAGCUGGCAGAAAGAGUACCUUGGCUCUGAAGGAGUAUCUGGGUCACCAACUACAGCAUCCACUAAAACUGGCAAGUUUAAAUAAAAUAUUUAGGAAUGAGUACUUCCUAUGUAACCUGCAUAUAAAGGACAUUUAACAAAUAUUUGUCAAAUGAAUAAAUGAAUGGUUAUUAGGAUAGAAGAAUGAUAAGUAGUGGAUUUAAACCCCAACAGAAGGGAUUUAAAUAAGGCUAAAGACAAAUACAGAACUAUAAUAAUGAACCACUCAGAGCAGAAGAACUUCCAGUCUAGAUAGCUGUAUUAUGACUUCAUCAUUGGAUUUAGUUACUCGAAUUCUGAAUUUAAGCCUUACAGCAAAAGUAGAGGGAAAAGAUGGAAAAGGGACUCCGAUUUUGGGGAUCAAGGUUCAACAAGUGAGGGUCCCCCACUCACUUGGAAAGGGCUAUCAUUCUACUACAUUAGAAUUUGCCAGAAAAACUCAAGGCUUUAAAAAGGAAAUAAUUAGUCUGUGUGAAGCAGCUGAAAGAAGUGAAAAACAUCAUUGAUUGAAUUUUUCCAAAAUUAAUGACUCUUCCUGCUUGGAGCCCUUUCAACUAAGGUAAUCAACAUCUAAAGUUCUUGUGAAGGUCAUUUCUGAGCACAGUCUAUUCUGCUCCAUCGAAUGAUCCAGUUCCUCUCCGUCUGAGUGUCUGGGCAUGCUCAUCAUGCAGCCAGCUAUCUAAUCACAAAGACAUUUUCCGGACACUACACAUUAGAAGAUGCCCCUUACUUUAUAAAGUUAUAUAAAUUAGAAUCUAUUUUAUCCAGGGGCUUAUAUGGUUAAUUUCAAGGAUGCUUUGUCUCCUUUUCUCAGUGGUCUUCAUACCAAAAUAGAUUCUAACACUUAGCCUAUAAACACUUCCGUUGCUUAAGAUUUAUCUGAUUAAAAGCUUAUAAAUACAUAUUUUCAUAUAUUUACAAGAUAUAAUUUUUUAUGCAAAAGAGUCUUUUCUUAAAAUGAAAAGUCCUUUUAGUUUUCAUUACGCAAAUGUAUAUCUUCCAGACUUGGCUUUACAACUCUUCAAUAUCUUUGGGGAAGAAUAUUCUGUUCAUAUAAAGCAAAUAUAACUUAUUGGCACCUCACGAAUUUGUUUUUGUAGCUUAGGAUAGUCAGGUUAUUUGGGGGAAUUUUUUGUUCUAAUGAUUAAAAUAUUUUGUUCUAAUUAUUAGAAUAUAUCAUUUAACUAGAUUGCAGGAUCAAUCUUUAACCAGGGUCCCUGGCUAUGCCUGUCCAGGGAAUCUAGGAAAGGAGACACAUAGGUGCGCGCGCACACAUGCGCGCACACACACACACACACACCCCCUUCCCUCCCAAAACCUGAAAUUUCACCAAGAACAAAGUAUAUGACUUAUAAAGGGCAUAUAAUUUUAUAUAUUUCAGAGAGACAUAAUACAUCAAUCAAUACAUGUAAGAUUUACAUUGGUUUGAUCUGGAAGGGUGGGACAACUCACCCUUUAUGUAGAUUUAAACAUAUUCUGAUUGGCAGCUGGUUGAAAGAGUUAUUAUCUAUAGAAAGGAAUGUCUGGGUUAUGAUAGGGGAUGUGAAGACCUAGGUUUUAUCAUGCAGAUGAAGCCUCCAAGUAGCAUGCUUCAAAAGACUGUAAAUGUUUCUCCCCAGACUUAAAGUUUGUGUUGAUGUUAAUGCUGGAGGGGUAUCGUGAGACUGUCCAACCCCCCCAGUUCCUGUCAUGGCCUGAGCCAGUCUUUCAGGUUAAAUUUUAGAGCACCUGGCUGAGGAGGGAGCCCAUUCAAAUGGUUGUGGGAGGCCUUUGAAUUUUAUUUUUGGUUUAUCGUUUCAAGGUUUAGCUAUAUGAAUAAUAAUUCUAUGCUUUUAAAAUGUUAAUUCAUUCAUUCUACAGACUUUCUGAGUACCGUUAUGUGCCAGGUCCUGGGCUGAGGAGGAGGACCUCAUAUAAAUCAGGACUUGAUAUAGUUUGGAUAUAUGUCCCCAUCAAAUCUCAUGUUGAAAUAUAAUCCUUGGUGUUGGAGGUGGAGCCUGUGAAACCGCCUUUGCAAAAAUUAUAACUGAGGAAAUUAUGACAGGGAAAGAGACCUGACCUAACCAGCUCCACCUUGCUUCUAACCUCUCAGCUGUCCUUGUUUAUUCCUGGGUGUAGGCCAAACUAACCUUGGGAAGGAAUUUAGUUCAUAGUUUAACUUUGAAAUAAAGAUGAUAAUAAACCCUCUACUUACCUGGGGACCAGUCUGCCCUUGUAGGACUAACAAAUUAGUUACAAGAUUAGAAAUUACAGUUAGGAGCCAUACAGCCUCUGGUUGCGAGUCUGAACCUCCCCAGAUUGCUCCUGGGAAUAGCAUUACUGUUGUAAAGCCUAAGAUCAGUGCUGGAGAUACUUUGCAGACCCUGUGUUCUGUUCGGAUGGACCAGCUGACGCCACCCAGACUGGUAAUCUGGCUCAGCCAGAUCUGCAGUCCCACCUAUGAACAGUAGACAGCAAGAAAAACUCACUUUGAUGCCUUAUGAUUUCAUCUCCAACCCAAGCAAUCAGCACUUCCUACUUCCUGAGCCCCUACUUGCCAAAUUAUCCUUAAAAACUCCGAUCCCCAAGUUUUGGGGGAGACUGAUUUAAGUAAUAAUAAAACUCCAGUCUCCUGUACAGACGGCUCUGUGUGAAUUACUCUUUUUGUAUUGCAAUUCCCUUGCCUUGAUAAAUCAGCUCUGUCUAGGCAGUGGGCAAGGAGAAUCCACUGAGCAGUUAUACCUGGUGGGAGGUACUUGGGUCAUCAGGGCAAAUCCUUCAUAGCUUGGGGCUGUCCUCCACACAGUGAGUGAGGUCUUGUGAGAUCUGGUUGCUUAAAAGUGUGUGGUAUCUCCCAUUGUCUCUCUUUCUCUCUUGCUCCUGCUUUUGCCAUGUGACAUGCCUGCUCUUGCUUCACCUUCUGCCAUGAGUAAAAGCUCCCUGAGGUCUCCCCAGAAGCCAAGCAGAUGCUGGUGCUGUGCUUGUACAGCCUCCAGAACCUCAAGAGAAUUAAACUCCUCUUUUUUGUAAAGUUGCCCAGUCUCAGGCUGGAGUACAAUGGCACGAUCUUGGGUCACCACAACCUC